GUGAAACAUUUGGGAUUAAAGCUCUCUACCCACAAGACACGUUGGCCAGUUGCAUAGCAAACUUCCACUUCCUGCCCCGCCGAAGUGACCUGGAAAGAACAUCUCUAAGGCUGAGAACAGUUAAUUCUCCAUUCCCAUUCAGUCCUUUGCCUCU
This 154-nucleotide small RNA is filed under the name Sphenodon punctatus (tuatara). RNAcentral's name for it is "TUC338 (ENSSPUG00000011831.1)". Lineage: Eukaryota; Metazoa; Chordata; Lepidosauria; Sphenodontia; Sphenodontidae. The record is from RNAcentral.